AUUGAACGCUGGCGGCAGGCCUAACACAUGCAAGUCGAACGAGUGGCGGACGGGUGAGUAAUGUCUGGGAAACUGCCUGAUGGAGGGGGAUAACUACUGGAAACGGUAGCUAAUACCGCAUCCCAUCAGAUGUUCCCAGAUGGGAUUCGCUAGUAGGUGGGGUAAUGGCUCACCUAGGCGACGAUCCCUAGCUGGUCUGAGAGGAUGACCAGACACACUGGAACUGAGACACUGUCCAGACGCCUACGGGAGGCAGAAGUGGGGAAUAUGGCACAAUGGGCGCAAGCCUGAUGCAGCCAUGCCGCGUGUGUGAAGAAGGCCUUCGGGUUGUAAAGCACUUUCAGCGAGGAGGCGUUACUCGCAGAAGAAGCACCGGCUAACUCCGUGCCAGCAGCCGCGGUAAUAC
RNAcentral lists this ribosomal RNA (406 nucleotides) under uncultured bacterium. Its description in RNAcentral is "partial 16S ribosomal RNA". It matches the Rfam family "Bacterial small subunit ribosomal RNA", at positions 30 to 526 of the family's 1533-position model. The record is from RNAcentral.